GCCACCCACCAGGGGCACCUGAAAAAAGGUUUACACCUGUGUUUAAGGAUGCUUUCCUGAACUGGGGUCUUAAUCUCUGUGUCACAGUUUCAGUCAUCUGUAAAUAGGGAUAAUAAUGCAUUGACCUCACAGAGAAAUUCAUCCAUAAACAUGCCAAAACAGAUGUGCCUUCCUCUAUGCACCCCGCAUCACUGAACCAUAGUGAAUCGUCAGAUGAAAUCAGUUCCAGAUUGUGCCUGCAGACAUGCUCCCUUCACCACCUGUCAUUUUGAGGACCUCUGAGAAGCAGCUCUUACAGUCGCCUUCCCAGAGCUCACAGAAAACUCACAAAGUAAAAUAUUUGCCUAUCAGCACUGAAUAGGAAGUCAAUCCAGAGGCUCUUGAAAGGAAAUGGGUCCCAAAGAUCUUCCUACCUGGGAGCCCAAGACCUCUACUGCCAGCGGGCCCAGUGUCAGGGAAAAGGAGUUACAAAUCCUGAAUACUGACUGACAUGUUAGGGCAACAAACUGCAAGCUCAGGAAAGCUUGCAUCUGACUGGGACAACCCUGACAUGUACACUGAAUCCGGACAGGCUCUGUUUCGGGGAAAGAUGACUGCAAGGACCUGUCUUUCAGCAGCAGGAGGAGAGACAGCUGCCCUCAGAAGGAAGGAGAGAAGUCAUACAAAGAACCCAGGGCCCAUUGAUCCUAAGGUGAGCCCCAGAAGAACCAAGAAAUGAGUGGAUUCUACCACACUUGGGACCAGGUGUGCUCUACUACAUUAUUGUUGUGGUUGCUCCUAGGGGCUCCUUUCAGGGGCGAGCACUGCAUUGUGUUUGGUAUGUGAGGUGUGGAGAGCUCUCUAGUCAACAUGUCCUGAACAAGAAGCCUUUUUUUUUAUUGUUACUA
Molecule: long non-coding RNA, 887 nt
Organism: Mauremys reevesii (Reeves's turtle)
Lineage: Eukaryota; Metazoa; Chordata; Testudines; Geoemydidae
Exons: 3
Source: RefSeq, a predicted model, not a curated record